CAAAGGUAUUGCAAGUGGGGUAUGUCCAGUCUUUAAGUAGCCACUUAGUCAAAAACACUGGCCAAAGUUAGCGUUCAUAUUUGUUUUUGUGUGAAAAAAAAAAAGCAACAAAAAAAACAAACAAAUAUUUGGCCAGUGUUUGUGACUAAGUGGCUACUAAAAAAAAGACAAAAAAAAAAAGACUGGACAUGGCCCAUUUGCAAUACCUUGG
Pelobates cultripes (western spadefoot toad) is the source of this 211-nucleotide non-coding RNA. The record is from the annotation of a GenBank genome assembly. Lineage: Eukaryota; Metazoa; Chordata; Amphibia; Anura; Pelobatidae.